GCACUGGUGGUGGAAUGGUAGACACGCCAUCUUGAGGGGGUGGUGAACUUCGUUCGUGCGAGUUCAAGUCUCGCUCAGUGCACCA
This 85-nucleotide transfer RNA is filed under the name Helicobacter sp. 11S02629-2. Its description in RNAcentral is "tRNA-Leu". It matches the Rfam family "tRNA". From Rfam's summary of the family: Transfer RNA (tRNA) molecules are approximately 80 nucleotides in length. Their secondary structure includes four short double-helical elements and three loops (D, anti-codon, and T loops). Lineage: Bacteria; Pseudomonadati; Campylobacterota; Epsilonproteobacteria; Campylobacterales; Helicobacteraceae. RNAcentral also lists the same sequence under 1 other name. The record is from RNAcentral.